UAGGGAAUCUUCGGCAAUGGGGGCAACCCUGACCGAGCAACGCCGCGUGAGUGAAGAAGGUUUUCGGAUCGUAAAGCUCUGUUGUAAGAGAAGAACGUGUGUGAGAGUGGAAAGUUCACACAGUGACGGUAACUUACCAGAAAGGGACGGCUAACUACGUGCCAGCAGCCGCGGUAAUACGUAGGUCCCGAGCGUUGUCCGGAUUUAUUGGGCGUAUAGCGAGCGCAGGCGGUUUAAUAAGUCUGAAGUUAAAGGCAGUGGCUUAACCAUUGUUCGCUUUGGAAACUGUUAAACUUGAGUGCAGAAGGGGAGAGUGGAAUUCCAUGUGUAGCGGUGAAAUGCGUAGAUAUAUGGAGGAACACCGGUGGCGAAAGCGGCUCUCUGGUCUGUAACUGACGCUGAGGCUCGAAAGCGUGGGGAGCAAACAGG
Molecule: ribosomal RNA, 429 nt
Filed under: bacterium
Lineage: Bacteria
Description: partial 16S ribosomal RNA
Rfam family: Bacterial small subunit ribosomal RNA
Source: RNAcentral